Non-coding RNA from Nesterenkonia sp. PF2B19, 111 nucleotides. The record is from Rfam. Lineage: Bacteria; Bacillati; Actinomycetota; Actinomycetes; Micrococcales; Micrococcaceae.
AGAGGGUCCUUGGGCGAGUUCUCCAGCCGCUCCGAAGGCAUCCUGACAUCUCUUCCCCGGUGUCAGGCGGCCUCGGCGCGGAGGGGGAGCUGGAUCAAGGAUCCUCUCCGG